GACGAACCGUGCGAACGUUAUUCGGAAUCACUGGGCUUAAAGCGCGUGUAGGCGGGCCGCCACGUCAGUCGCUGAAAUCCCCCGGCUCAACCGGGGAAGUGGCACUGAUACGAGCGGCCUGGAGGGAGGUAGGGGGGGCUGGAACUUCCGGUGGAGCGGUGAAAUGCGUUGAGAUCGGAAGGAACGCCCGUGGCGAAAGCGAGCCCCUGGACCUUUUCUGACGCUGAGACGCGAAAGCUAGGGGAGCGAACGGGAUUAGAUACCCCGGUAGUCCUAGCCGUAAACGAUGGGCACUGGGUAGGGGGCUCGCCGAUGGGCUCCCUGCCGAAGGGAAACCGUGAAGUGCCCCGCCUGGGGAGUAUGGUCGCAAGGCUGAA
This 377-nucleotide ribosomal RNA is filed under the name uncultured bacterium. RNAcentral describes it as "bacterial SSU rRNA". It matches the Rfam family "Bacterial small subunit ribosomal RNA", at positions 524 to 898 of the family's 1533-position model. The record is from RNAcentral.